Molecule: transfer RNA, 90 nt
Filed under: Cladosiphon okamuranus
Lineage: Eukaryota; Phaeophyceae; Ectocarpales; Chordariaceae
Description: tRNA-Ser
Rfam family: tRNA
About the family: Transfer RNA (tRNA) molecules are approximately 80 nucleotides in length.
Source: RNAcentral
UGGAGGUGUGGCUGAGUGGUUUAAAGCCUUGGUUUGCUAAAUCAAUGUAUGUUUUUAACGUACCGUGGGUUCAAAUCCUACCGCUUCCAU